This 429-nucleotide ribosomal RNA is filed under the name uncultured bacterium. Its description in RNAcentral is "bacterial SSU rRNA". It matches the Rfam family "Bacterial small subunit ribosomal RNA", at positions 355 to 775 of the family's 1533-position model. The record is from RNAcentral.
UGGGGAAUUUUGCGCAAUGGGGGAAACCCUGACGCAGCAACGCCGCGUGAGUGAUGAAGGCCUUCGGGUCGUAAAGCUCUGUCAGAGGGAAAGAAGUGCAGUGGUGCUAAUACCAUCAUUGCUUGACGGUACCCUCAAAGGAAGCACCGGCUAACUCCGUGCCAGCAGCCGCGGUAAUACGGAGGGUGCGAGCGUUGUUCGGAAUUAUUGGGCGUAAAGCGCGUGCAGGCGGUCUUUUAAGUCUGAUGUGAAAGCCCCGGGCUCAACCUGGGAAGUGCAUUGGAAACUGGGAGACUUGAAUACGGGAGAGGGUAGUGGAAUUCCUAGUGUAGGAGUGAAAUCCGUAGAUAUUAGGAGGAACACCGGUGGCGAAGGCGGCUACCUGGACCGAUAUUGACGCUGAGACGCGAAAGCGUGGGGAGCAAACAG